CGGCGGUUAACUUCCACCGGCAUACUCCGCGUUAUAUCCCAAAAGACAGUAUCAUUCUUAUACAAUACUGUUUUCCCUCGAAUGGAAAAUACAAAAUGGCGUCUGCAUGAGAGUUGUACUUAGCUCUGGGUUAAUUGGUGAUAAGUAAUGAAUUAUUACAGUUCGUAAUCAGUUCGCUGCUCUUAGGCCAGUCUCUGGAAACUGAAUCCUGACGCCAUGGUCUGCUUACAAUUGGGAGACUGAAUAAACGUACCUAGCGUGACAUCAGCCAACCGUACCCUCGUGAUCUGCAUUCCUAUCAAUGGAUUUCCAACGGGCCUACGCAUUUGUACCUGUCAGCGAAGCUGUUACGGCAUUUCGCCGAUCGCCCA
Long non-coding RNA from Cryptotermes secundus, 371 nucleotides. RefSeq lists it as uncharacterized. The record is from RefSeq and is a predicted model, not a curated record. Lineage: Eukaryota; Metazoa; Arthropoda; Insecta; Blattodea; Kalotermitidae. The transcript is spliced from 3 exons.